ACAGGCACUUGGCACCCUUGUGAUGUCAUACAGAGAAGUCACAGGGGUGGUACCUAAGGGUCUGU
This is a non-coding RNA of Loxodonta africana (African savanna elephant), 65 nucleotides long. Lineage: Eukaryota; Metazoa; Chordata; Mammalia; Proboscidea; Elephantidae. The record is from Rfam.